This 72-nucleotide transfer RNA is filed under the name Marmota marmota marmota (Alpine marmot). It matches the Rfam family "tRNA". From Rfam's summary of the family: Transfer RNA (tRNA) molecules are approximately 80 nucleotides in length. RNAcentral also lists the same sequence under 1 other name. Lineage: Eukaryota; Metazoa; Chordata; Mammalia; Rodentia; Sciuridae. The record is from Rfam by way of RNAcentral.
GGUGAUGUAGCUCAAUGGUAGAGCAUUUAUCUAGCAUAUGCAAGGCCCUGGGUUCAAUCCCUAGAACCACAA